UGGGGAAUUUUGGACAAUGGGGGCAACCCUGAUCCAGCAAUGCCGCGUGAGUGAAGAAGGCCUUCGGGUUGUAAAGCUCUUUUGUCAGGGAAGAAACGGUAGUAGCGAAUAACUAUUACUAAUGACGGUACCUGAAGAAUAAGCACCGGCUAACUACGUGCCAGCAGCCGCGGUAAUACGUAGGGUGCAAGCGUUAAUCGGAAUUACUGGGCGUAAAGCGUGCGCAGGCGGUUGUGUAAGUCAGAUGUGAAAUCCCCGGGCUCAACCUGGGAAUUGCAUUUGAGACUGCACGGCUAGAGUGUGUCAGAGGGGGGUAGAAUUCCACGUGUAGCAGUGAAAUGCGUAGAUAUGUGGAGGAUACCGAUGGCGAAGGCAGCCCCCUGGGAUAACACUGACGC
This 398-nucleotide ribosomal RNA is filed under the name uncultured bacterium. RNAcentral describes it as "bacterial SSU rRNA". It matches the Rfam family "Bacterial small subunit ribosomal RNA", at positions 355 to 746 of the family's 1533-position model. The record is from RNAcentral.